Molecule: ribosomal RNA, 257 nt
Filed under: Brevibacillus borstelensis
Lineage: Bacteria; Bacillati; Bacillota; Bacilli; Caryophanales; Paenibacillaceae
Description: partial 16S ribosomal RNA
Rfam family: Bacterial small subunit ribosomal RNA
Source: RNAcentral
CGGCGGACGGGUGAAUAACACGUAGGCAACCUGCCCGUAAGCUCGGGAUAACAUGGGGAAACUCAUGCUAAUACCGGAUAGGGUCUUCUCUCGCAUGAGAGGAGACGGAAAGGUGGCGCAAGCUACCACUUACGGAUGGGCCUGCGGCGCAUUAGCUAGUUGGUGGGGUAACGGCCUACCAAGGCGACGAUGCGUAGCCGACCUGAGAGGGUGACCGGCCACACUGGGACUGAGACACGGCCCAGACUCCUACGGGA